This 5742-nucleotide unclassified non-coding RNA is filed under the name Leishmania donovani. Lineage: Eukaryota; Euglenozoa; Kinetoplastea; Trypanosomatida; Trypanosomatidae. The record is from RNAcentral.
CGCACGCAAAACUUACAUGCACACUUUAGCACGCAAGCCCUGAUCACUGCCACGCGAGCCUUUCCGAACACUGACUGACCCCCCCCCCUCCCCAACUCCCUCAGCGCCGUGCACCGUCACACACAUUCACGCCUCUGUUUCAGCAGGCACACGCUUUCCGCUCACGGAGCUGACCCGGCUAACCUCUCGCGCUUCACAUACCCGCACCACCAUGGCCAGCAAGGAACCAAACCCCUUCCAUAUGCACAAUUCGGAGCCUGCACGGCGUCAGGGCCACGGGGAGCCGAUGGACCUACGCUCCGAGCUUGACAUGGAAGUAGCGCAGGGAUACGACGCGAAAUGCGUGCGGGGGGUGGAGGACGUCUCCUCCGCCGAGGCGCCGGACCCAUACGACUUCUCGCGGUACGACCCGAGGCGCCAGAUCGAGUUGCAGGACAAGAUCCGCGCUGAUCGCGUGGCCCGCCGCCUCGUCCCCGCGAAUGUGUUCCAGAAGUACUUCGACUACUUGGUGCCCUACGGCGGCCUGGUUUCCACGGGCCUCAACCUGGCCAGCUCCUCCAUUGGUGCCGGCAUUAUUGCGCUGCCCUACGCCUUCAACGCCUCUGGUCUUGUUAUGGCCAUCAUCUACAUGUUCAUGAUUGCCUACCUCACCAUCUACUCCUACUACCUGCUGGGCCAGGCGGGCACCAAGACUGGUCUGCGCAACUACGAGCAGAUCGUACGCACGCUCCUCGGCCCUGGCGCGGACUACUUCCUCGCCUUCUGCAUGUGGUUUCUCAGUUUUGGCGGGGAGGUGUCGUACGUCAUCUCCGUGAAGGAUGUGCUGACGGCCUUCCUCGAGGACGCGGACAACACGCCGGCGUUCUUGCUGAACAUCUGGGGCCAGCGCCUCCUCACCUUCCUCGUGUGGCUCGUGGCCAUGCUGCCGCUGUGCCUGCCGAAGGAGAUCAACUCGCUGCGCUACUUCUCCUGCGUCGCGAUUGUGUUCAUAGUGUAUUUUGUGAUUGCGAUGGUAGUGCACAGCGCGCAGAACGGCCUGCGCGCGGAUCCGCGCCCGGAGAUCAGGAUGUUCACGACGGGCAACACCGCCGUUUCUGGGAUGUCCACGUUCAUCUUCGCCUUCCUGUCGCAGCUGAACGCGUAUGAAAGUUAUGAAGAAAUGAGCAACCCCACGCCGCUGCGCCUGACACUGGGUGCCACCAUCGCCGUCGGUAUCGUGUUUGUGUUGUACUUCCUCUCCGGCCUCUUUGGCUACCUUGACUUCGGCGCCGAGAUGACCGGCUCCGCGCUGAAGAAGUACAAUCCGGUGAAGGACGUCAUGAUGGGCGUCGGAUACGUGGGUAUCCUGUUCAAGCUGUGCGUUGGGUUCGGUCUGCACAUGAUCCCGGUUCGUGAUGCCAUCUACCACUGCGUCCGCGUGGACGUGCACACGUUUGCGUGGUGGAAGAACGCGUGCGUGUGCGCCUUCAUGGCGCUGCUGUCGCUCGUGGCUGGUCUGUUCAUCCCGAGCAUCAACGUCGUCUUCGGCCUCGUUGGCGGCUUCUCUGGCGGCUUCAUCGGCUUUAUCUACCCCUCCUUCAUGGUCAUGUACUCCGGCAACUGGUCGCUGUCGUCGGUUGGGUGGUUCCACUACCUGUCCACGUACUUUUUGCUGAUUGUCGGCGUCGUUGGCGUCGUGUGGGGCACGGCCAGCUCCAUCUAUGGCGAGAUUUAACCUUUUUUUCUUUGUCAACGGUCAAUAGGCUAAUGGAGUAAAACCGUCGACGCUCGGUGGUAAAGAAGAUGUGGAGAGAAGUGCGUCGUGCCUUCUCAUCGAUUGCCGGCCGGGAGGGUUGUUUUGAAUGUCGCUCUCUCCCUUCUUUGUUGCUCCGUGCCAUGAGUUUAUCCUCAGCUAGCGUGGCUGUGCUCGUCGUUCUUGUUUGUUUUCUUACUUUUCAUUGUUUUCCUUCUCUGAACUCUCUCGGUGCUGCAGGGAGAGUCUCGUAUACCAGUCGCAGAGCCCAAUAGACGUCUGUAUGGACCCUCCCCCUGACUGUCUUCUGUCAUACCUGCGCGAGGCUGGUGUAUGCACGCGUGCGGUUUCGGUGCUGUCGGUUUUUUUUUGUACUAUGAUUUCUGUUUUCUUUUUGUUUUUCUUGUUUACGACGGAGCGCCUUUUUCUAUUGUGUUGCUCUGCGUUUGUUCUCUCUCUUACUUUCUCCACCGGGAUGUGGGAGACACGAAGCAUAACAAGUAUACCAUCGAUAAAGGAGAAAACGCGCUGCAAGGUGUUGUAAAAUGCCUGAGUAUCUAGCACUGCACUGGUCUGUUGGUAGUAACGAGUGACGGCGACUACCAUCGUGGUAUUGCAGACCUUAUUCCCCCUCCCCUCUUUCUAUUUUGCUUUGGUGAUCGAAGUGGUCGUGUCUGUGCUGUCACUGCCGAUCGGGCAUGUCGCCAUCGGACGUUGCUCACCUCCCUCCUCAUCUCUCAUUUCACUUUUUUUAUUUUUUUUUCCCCGUGUAUUUUGUUUCCGUUUUUUUUUUUCGCCCCACAGGUUCUGCGGGCGGCCUCUCUGUUACGUUCUACUUCGGGCCUCUUCCGCACGUCUUCACCUUUUUUUUUUUGUUUCUCCUUCCCGGGAUCAUGUCUCGACGGCCUCCUCGUCUGAGCGCGGUUGUGGGAUGUGUGGUGUACGUGUUGUCCACGAAGGUGCUUCGGCCAACAUCUUCGACGGGGAUGUCGACAUGCAUCGGCACAGCUCUGCUCAACAUAGCCGCCUACGGAGUGGGUGAAUGCGUAGAAGGCUUGUCUUCCUCCCCCACCAGACCUCAGUCGUGAGGAAAUCGACCGCUAUCGGGACGCCGCUGUUAACGACGGCCGUACAGAGUCGGUUUGUGCACGUUUCAGUGCAUGCUUAUGGAUGCGCGCGUGCACGCAACGUCUCUCCGCACGUGUCCCAAGUCGCCGAUGUGCGUCCCUGCAUUCAGGCGCGCACAGUCCAGCGUUUUUACGAUGAAGCGGCGAACUUCUGGAGGAGCAUCCGUGGGCUAUGCGGCACGCACCUUUCCUCAGACGCGCGAAGCGAUUCGAGACACAACUCUAUUGGACGCACUCCUAAGAGUGCGUCUGUGUUGUGGAUGGCGAGGUAGACGCAAGCGAAGACAGCAGCUGCGGAAGUCUUGUUGUUUACUCCUAAUCCGCGCUUUCUGCUGUUGCUGCGUCCCACCCAGUCCCCAUCGACGGUAUCCGUGAGCAUGUGCACGACGGCUUUGUUGGGCGUCACCUCUGACACAGCCCACCUGCGCGUACAUGCUGCUGUUUUUUUUCUUUUCUGGAAUGCAGCCUAAAAAGGAGCGAGAACAGAAGGUGAACGUGUCUUCAGCUUCAAGACGUUCGUUAAGCCGCCGGUGAGAGCGACAUCACCUGGGUGCAUAGGUUUUCGCGCUGCCGAUUCGGUGCCCCACGAAGCCUUGCCAGGUGUUUGUGUGCGCGAACGUUUGCGAGCUCACGCCUUCUCGUCCCUACGGUGAGCUUGUGGUGAUGCCCUUGUGGGGUGGGCUGUAUUUAUAUACAUUCAUGCGUGUAUCGUGGUGUAGCGAUGGGAAACGCUCCUUUUUUUUGUUUGUAUUCUGUCCUCUCGUGUGUCGGUUCUGGGAACAGUCUCAAUCCUGCGACCUCGGCCGCCACGCCCUCCCCCUUCACUAUCAAACCCCCACCCUUCCUAAAAACUACCCCUAGCGAUCCUGACACCACCACGCGCCCUCCCCUCUCUCCUUUCUGUUUCAUCUUUUCGAACAAAAAGACACUCGUUUUGUGUGCUGUUGUUUUGCUGUCAAUUCGUGAUCUCAUCUUCGACGUUUUUUUUUUGCUUGCUGCUCUAUCUUCAGCCUCUCCUUUCCCCUCCCCUCAUCCCUGGUGUCACCACCGCUUCCGCGUCCACCAUUCCGAUCGUCAUUUUUUAUCUCCCCUCCCCUUUCCUCCCUGCGUGUCCCGGUAGAGGUGCCUAUAUAUAUAUAUGCCGCAUAUGUACAAACUCGCGUCUUCCCAGCAAACGCCAUCAUCAGCAGGACUCUCUCUUUGCCCUCUUGACUUUAUCGAAGUGUCUGUACAUGGAUUUCGUAAGCUUUCGUACAUUUCUUCGGCUUGUUUAAUCACUGCCUUUGGCGUGAGCCAUCCUCAUGGGAGUGCCCGUCCUUCUUCCCCUUCUUUGCUUUGGGUCUUUGCGGCUUGUCUGUGUGUGCGCGCGCCUCUGACGCACCCCGAGGGGAUGGAGGGGCGCACCGUCGUUCCGCACAACGCGCCCGGUUCUCGCGCUCAGUGGAACUAUGUUUUCCGGCGUCUCCCUUUCUGACCAUCUUCCCAGCACCUACCCCUGCUUCACCUCGGCGUCGCACCGAGAUAAUGCAUCGACUCCUUCUCUCUUGUCUCGUCCGCAGCGUGUCCCUGUGGAGCGUGCCACUGCGCCGAUGGACAGCGCGAUGGUGGAGAGAGGCAGAGAGCUCGAUGGCAGCGACCGUGCAGAGAAACAGCACAAACAAGUGGCCACAUGGCGACUUCCACAAAGGUGGCUGGAAUGGAGGGAGAUAGGUGGAUCAGCCGGGCUGGUGCUUCUUUUCUUUGUCUGAGGCACCCUUGGAUCACCACGUGGAGUGGGGGAAGAUGCGAUUUGGCGACCGCAGGAGACGGGCGGAGGACAAGGCGCCGCACAAACAGAGAGAGGACGUGGUGGCAAAUGUCUAAGCACAACUGACGAUGCUUCACGUCUUUCUCGCCUCCUCUCCCGUUUAGCUCGUGUCGCCACGGCAUCCUCUUCACCUGCGCUCUGCCCUGCUUCGCUUUCGAGUCAGAUACGGCACUCUGUUGGUGUUUCUAUCCGGCGCACCACCAACCACGCGGGGCCUCCCUUCCCACUUCUCUUCUUUUUUUUUUAGUUGUUCUGCUCGCCGUUUCUGCAGGGAUUCGUCAGCUCCUCGGAUGUGGGUCUGAGUGUGUCUGUGCGCGCCUUGGAAGUGGCACAGCCACUGCGAUGGGCCGGAGCGGAGUCUGCGAGGUCAGUGGGCGUGCGCGUUGCUCCUCCCACUCCCCUUCCCUCUGGUCUCUCUCGCAAUCUUUGCAGGCGAAGUCAUCCCCGGUGGAGGAGUGGAAGGGCGCUGCCAUGAUCUCAACUACCCACUGGCAACCACUCACCAAGUAGCAUACAGAGGCGAGCGCAGGACACGGAUGAGCAGAUGAUCAGCGACGAAGCUCUCUCCACUAGCCCCCUUUUUUCUCCCUCAUCUAGGUUUUCCCGCUUAUCUCUCUGUUCCUUCCUGCACGUACCGCGGAUCUCCAGUUGACGGCGUUCGUGUGUGAAAGAGUCCGUGUGCGGAGGACUGGCCAUUGGCGGCUCUUCUCCUUCUCCGCUGACUCCUCGAUGAGCAUGCGCGUUUUCGGCUGUGGGUGCGGCACUGAGAUCAGCACCUUUUCCCCGUCACGCAGGGCGGAGUGGGCCCCUUUAUUUCUUCGUGCAAGUGUCGACGAUGAGCGCCAUCAUCGGCAAGCGCGGCCUGCAGUAGCCCUACAAAGAUCGGCGUCGGAUGGUGGCGCAUUCGCAUUAGCCCGCCCGCCGGGCCGUGACGCCACGGCUGCUGUGAUGUACAGCGUGCGAGGGAGCAAAUAUAUAUAUAUAUAAUUGGUCAGCCCAUGGCUUGUUCUGACUCCCUUUCUCUCCUCGCAGGCGCCCCUCGAACAUCGCUAGUGUCGCGCAGGCGCUCGAAUAAU